GAUGAACGCUGGCGGUAUGCUUAACACAUGCAAGUCGAACGAAAGUUUUUAACUUUAGUGGCGAACGGGUGCGUAAUACGUGAGAAUCUGCCCUUAGGAGGAGGAUAACUGCUGGAAACGGCUGCUAACCCUCCAUAUGUCGAGAGAUGAAAUAAUUUAUUGCCUAAGGAUGAGCUCGCGCCUGAUUAGCUAGUUGGUGAGGUAAUGGCUCACCAAGGCCACGAUCAGUAGCUGGUUUGAGAGAACGAUCAGCCACACUGGGACUGAGACACGGCCCAGACUCCUCCGGGAGGCAGCAGUGAGGAAUUUUCCGCAAUGGGCGAAAGCCUGACGGAGCAAUACCGCGUGAGGGAUGAAGGAUUUUGGUCUGUAAACCUCUUUUCUCAAGAAAGAAGUUCUG
Molecule: ribosomal RNA, 400 nt
Filed under: uncultured Cyanobacterium sp.
Lineage: Bacteria; Bacillati; Cyanobacteriota; Cyanophyceae; Chroococcales; Geminocystaceae
Description: bacterial SSU rRNA
Rfam family: Bacterial small subunit ribosomal RNA
Source: RNAcentral